Doryrhamphus excisus (bluestripe pipefish) is the source of this 276-nucleotide long non-coding RNA. RefSeq lists it as uncharacterized. Lineage: Eukaryota; Metazoa; Chordata; Actinopteri; Syngnathiformes; Syngnathidae. The record is from RefSeq and is a predicted model, not a curated record.
GACAAUGAGGAAGUGUCGUUCCCAGGACGUUUGAAAACCUGAUGCGGCCCAGUCUCACCCAGACCCGAGCUCCAGUGGCCCCCAAGUAAAUAGGUCCAUUCAUCACCUACAGAUGGCACUGUGGAGGACCAGCGACUACCUUCGCAAUCGACCAGUAGCUCGCAGUCAAUCCCUUUCCUGGAAUGGAGUAAUGUUUUAACGAGGAUACAAAAAUGAUACAGUACAGCGGAAUGGCGCCAGGAAGAAAAGGCACGGUUCAAGGAGUGAAAUAUGUGU